UCCCCUGCGCACCCCCCGUGGUGUCCUCUGUCCCCUGCGCACCCCCCGUGGUGUCCUCUGCCUCCUGCGAACCCCCCGUGGUGUCCUCUGCACACCCCCCGUAGUGUCCUCUGUCCCCUGCACACCCCCCGUAGUGUCCUCUGUCCCCUGCACCCCACCACACAAACACACACUGUGUAGGUAGAACUCUCCUACCUUACACAGGUGUACAGCAAGCAGGGCAUCACAGGGCUGGAUGGGGGGAGGGAACUACUGAAGUUAACUUUUCACAUUAACAUGCUGGUGAUUGGUUGCCGGGCAAUCCUACCAACCAAUCACCCGGUGUUUAAUGAAAAAAGUUAACUUCUAUGGUUCCCGCCCCCAUCCAGCCAUGAGAUACUGACAGUAAAAUGUCCACGGGUGCCCCCAUUCAGUGGUGGCGGGCCGGGUGCCGACCCCUUUUCUAGAGACUCUGGGCCGCAGAUUUGGGGCUAUAGCCUCAAUAGCCACCCCCUAGCGACGCCUCUGGUGAGAUCUCUGAGUUUGAGUUCCUGGGUGUGCACGCCCGUUAUUACCAGGGGAAACCAUUGUGUCUCUUGGAUUAAUAAUGGAGCUUAUAUUAUGAAGCAGGCAAUGCCGAGGAAAGAAACACCUUGCAAGGUGGACGGAUUUAGAGCCAGGAGAUAUGGUGAUCUCAACCAAAGUAUCCAAGACUUCAAGUGGUCAUCCACCAACGUGAACCUCCUUUUUUUUUGAGUGGACUAACCCUUUAAAAAGGGUCAUUGGUUUUAGUUUCUUCACAAAAUUCUCCUCUUUUUGAUUCUUUAAGCAUCAAGAAUCGUGUCUACUAUUCUUUUGCCUCUUCUUUUUUUCUUUGUUCUCCCCUUUCUCUUUACUUUCCUGGUGAGCUUUAUUAUUUAAUGUUUAUUCAAUGUUACUUGACGCCACACUGAUCUUCCAGUCUUGAAGUUCUGGCGGUAUGGAAGUCACCCGCACCUUUUUGAUCCUUUUCCUGGGUGGCUAGUCGAAGAGAUGAUCAAUGUAUUUGUAUUGGGAUGUUGAUUGACUAACCUCAUUUGUGUGGAUGUUGUCAAGUCGUACUCAUAAUUUCAAUGUGGAUUUCUUUUUUUCUUUUUUUAUAUCACUUUUAUAAUCUUUGAUAGUAAUAAAAAUAUACAUAGAAAAUAAA
Molecule: long non-coding RNA, 1168 nt
Organism: Rana temporaria (common frog)
Lineage: Eukaryota; Metazoa; Chordata; Amphibia; Anura; Ranidae
Exons: 2
Source: RefSeq, a predicted model, not a curated record